This 113-nucleotide ribosomal RNA is filed under the name Acanthosepion pharaonis. Lineage: Eukaryota; Metazoa; Mollusca; Cephalopoda; Sepiida; Sepiidae. The record is from RNAcentral.
UUACGGUCAAAUUACACUGAAAGCACCGGUUCUCUUUCGAUCACCGAAGUUAAGCAUCGUAGAGCCAGGUUAAUAUUAUAUGAGGGACCGCUUGCGAACACCUUAUACUGUAA